GAUCGCCGAAGUGCGCAAGGUGUCCCGAAGGGCAUUCCGCCCCAAGGGAUGAAACGGGAAGCCGGUGCGAAGCCUCGAUCGAUCCAUCGAGGAUUCAAUGCCGGCGCUGCCCCCGCAACGGUAGGCGAGUUGCCAAGACCGCAUCCGAAAAGCAUCGCUCGAUGCCUUUCGAGCCACUUCGCAUCCUUCAACGUCAGCCAUCGGAUAUCGCCGAUGCAGCGAGGGAAGGCGCGGAUUCUUGGAACCGAUGAUCGUUAUCGGUUCGCUCGCAAGCCCGGAGACCGGCCCGGCGCCAACAUCGAUC
Molecule: non-coding RNA, 304 nt
Filed under: Amphimedon queenslandica
Lineage: Eukaryota; Metazoa; Porifera; Demospongiae; Haplosclerida; Niphatidae
Also listed under: 1 other name
Source: RNAcentral